RNAcentral lists this ribosomal RNA (404 nucleotides) under Fusobacteriota bacterium. Its description in RNAcentral is "Fusobacteria bacterium partial 16S ribosomal RNA". It matches the Rfam family "Bacterial small subunit ribosomal RNA", at positions 355 to 776 of the family's 1533-position model. Lineage: Bacteria; Fusobacteriati; Fusobacteriota. The record is from RNAcentral.
UGGGGAAUAUUGCACAAUGGAGGGAACUCUGAUGCAGCGACGCCGCGUGAGUGAUGAAGGACUUCGUUUCGUAAAACUCUGUUCUAUGGGAAGAAAAGGACUGUACCAUAGGAGAAAGCUCCGGCGAAAUACGUGCCAGCAGCCGCGGUAAUACGUAUGGAGCGAGCGUUGUCCGGAAUUAUUGGGCGUAAAGGGUGCGCAGGCGGCUUUACAAGUUGGAUGUGAAAUAUUGUGGCUCAACCACAAACGUGCAUCCAAAACUGCAAAGCUUGAGUUAAGGAGAGGUAAGUGGAAUUCCUGGUGUAGCGGUGGAAUGCGUAGAUAUCAGGAGGAAUACCGGUGGCGAAGGCGACUUACUGGACUUAAACUGACGCUCAGGCACGAAAGCGUGGGGAGCAAACAGG